GACGAACGCUGGCGGCGUGCUUAACACAUGCAAGUCGAACGGAAAGGCCCUGCUUUUGUGGGGUGCUCGAGUGGCGAACGGGUGAGUAACACGUGAGUAACCUGCCCUUGACUUUGGGAUAACUUCAGGAAACUGGGGCUAAUACCGGAUAGGAGCUCCUGCUGCAUGGUGGGGGUUGGAAAGUUUCGGCGGUUGGGGAUGGACUCGCGGCUUAUCAGCUUGUUGGUGGGGUAGUGGCUUACCAAGGCUUUGACGGGUAGCCGGCCUGAGAGGGUGACCGGGCACAGUGGGAAUGAGAGACGGCCCAGACUACUAUGGGAGGCAGCAGUGGGGCAUAUUGCACAAUGGGCGGAAGCCUAAUGCAGCAACGCCGCGUGCGGGAUGACGGCCUUCGGGUGGUAAACCGCUUUCGCCUGUGACGAAGCGUGAGUGACGGGAAUGGGUAAAGAAGCACCGGCUAACUACGUG
Molecule: ribosomal RNA, 468 nt
Filed under: uncultured bacterium
Lineage: Bacteria
Description: partial 16S ribosomal RNA
Rfam family: Bacterial small subunit ribosomal RNA
Source: RNAcentral